Molecule: long non-coding RNA, 362 nt
Filed under: Mytilus galloprovincialis (Mediterranean mussel)
Lineage: Eukaryota; Metazoa; Mollusca; Bivalvia; Mytilida; Mytilidae
Source: RNAcentral
AUGACAAUGGACAGCAAUAUUGCAAUAUAAUAACAACAAAUUUUUGUUCGCAUAAAUUUAGGAUACCAGCAUGUCCUCAUUUUAUUCAAAAUAUUGAAACGUAACAAAAUUUCAGUAGUUUUGAUACAUCCAGUUGACUUGUACAACAAAAUUAUUUGACCGCAUCCACCAAAACUGACCAUAUGUGCACUUUAAUUUGUAAAUCUAUAUAUACCCGCAUCGUUAAUCAGCCAUAUUUUUUAUGUCAGGAUUCAAUGUAUAAUACAAUCAUGACAAUGGACAGCAAAAUUGCAAUAUAAUAACAAAAAAUUUUGGUUCGCAUAAAUUUAGGAUACCAGCAUGUCCUCUUUUUACUUAAAAUA